GUGGGGAAUAUUGCACAAUGGGCGAAAGCCUGAUGCAGCGACGCCGCGUGAGGGAUGACGGCCUUCGGGUUGUAAACCUCUUUCAGCAGGGAAGAAGCCACAAGUGACGGUACCUGCAGAAGAAGCGCCGGCUAACUACGUGCCAGCAGCCGCGGUAAUACGUAGGGCGCAAGCGUUGUCCGGAAUUAUUGGGCGUAAAGAGCUCGUAGGCGGUUUGUCGCGUCUGCUGUGAAAGCCCGGGGCUUAACCCCGGGUGUGCAGUGGGUACGGGCAGACUAGAGUGCAGUAGGGGAGACUGGAAUUCCUGGUGUAGCGGUGGAAUGCGCAGAUAUCAGGAGGAACACCGAUGGCGAAGGCAGGUCUCUGGGCUGUUACUGACGCUGAGGAGCGAAAGCAUGGGGAGCGAACAGGAUUAGAUACCCUUGUAGUCC
RNAcentral lists this ribosomal RNA (431 nucleotides) under uncultured bacterium. RNAcentral's name for it is "bacterial SSU rRNA". It matches the Rfam family "Bacterial small subunit ribosomal RNA", at positions 354 to 796 of the family's 1533-position model. The record is from RNAcentral.